CCCCAGACUCCUACGGGAGGCAGCAGUGGGGAAUAUUGCACAAUGGGGGAAACCCUGAUGCAGCGACGCCGCGUGAGCGAUGAAGUAUUUCGGUAUGUAAAGCUCUAUCAGCAGGGAAGAAAAUGACGGUACCUGAGUAAGAAGCCCCGGCUAACUACGUGCCAGCAGCCGCGGUAAUACGUAGGGGGCAAGCGUUAUCCGGAUUUACUGGGUGUAAAGGGAGCGUAGACGGCAGUGCAAGUCUGGAGUGAAAGGCGGGGGCUCAACCCCCGGACUGCUCUGGAAACUGUACGGCUGGAGUGCAGGAGAGGGAAGUGGAAUUCCUAGUGUAGCGGUGAAAUGCGUAGAUAUUAGGAGGAACACCGGCGGCGAAGGCGGCCUGCUGGACCGUAACUGACGUUGAGGCUCGAAAGCGUGGGGAGCAAACAGGAUUAGAUACCCCUGUAGUA
RNAcentral lists this ribosomal RNA (449 nucleotides) under uncultured bacterium. RNAcentral describes it as "bacterial SSU rRNA". It matches the Rfam family "Bacterial small subunit ribosomal RNA", at positions 329 to 795 of the family's 1533-position model. The record is from RNAcentral.